RNAcentral lists this ribosomal RNA (492 nucleotides) under uncultured bacterium. RNAcentral describes it as "partial 16S ribosomal RNA". It matches the Rfam family "Bacterial small subunit ribosomal RNA", at positions 29 to 507 of the family's 1533-position model. The record is from RNAcentral.
AGUGAACGCUGGCGGUAGGCCUAACACAUGCAAGUCGAACGGCAGCACAGUAAGAGCUUGCUCUUACGGGUGGCGAGUGGCGGACGGGUGAGGAAUACAUCGGAAUCUACUUUUUCGUGGGGGAUAACGUAGGGAAACUUACGCUAAUACCGCAUACGACCUACGGGUGAAAGCAGGGGAUCUUCGGACAUUGCGCGAGUGAAUGAGCCGAUGUCGGAUUAGCUAGUUGGCGGGGUAAAGGCCCACCAAGGCGACGAUCCGUAGCUGGUCUGAGAGGAUGAUCAGCCACACUGGAACUGAGACACGGUCCAGACUCCUACGGGAGGCAGCAGUGGGGAAUAUUGGACAAUGGGCGCAAGCCUGAUCCAGCCAUACCGCGUGGGUGAAGAAGGCCUUCGGGUUGUAAAGCCCUUUUGUUGGGAAAGAAAAGCAGCAGGUUAAUACCCCGCUGUUCUGACGGUACCCAAAGAAUAAGCACCGGCUAACUUCGUG